Molecule: transfer RNA, 70 nt
Filed under: Drabescoides nuchalis
Lineage: Eukaryota; Metazoa; Arthropoda; Insecta; Hemiptera; Cicadellidae
Description: tRNA-Ile
Source: RNAcentral
AAUAAGAUGCCUGAAUAAAGGAUUAUUUUGAUAGAAUAAAUUAUGUGUAUUUUAUAAUAUACUCUUAUUG